RNAcentral lists this ribosomal RNA (506 nucleotides) under uncultured bacterium. RNAcentral describes it as "partial 16S ribosomal RNA". It matches the Rfam family "Bacterial small subunit ribosomal RNA", at positions 28 to 523 of the family's 1533-position model. The record is from RNAcentral.
GAUGAACGCUAGCUACAGGCUUAACACAUGCAAGUCGAGGGGUAACGAGAGGAAAGCUUGCUUCCCUUGUCGACGACCGGCGCACGGGUGAGUAACGCGUAUCCAACCUGCCCCCAACUAGGGAAUAACCUUGCGAAAGUAAGACUAAUACCCUAUAAUUUCCUCAGAUGUCAUCUGACGAGGAAUAAAGAUUUAUCGGUUGUGGAUGGGGAUGCGUCUGAUUAGCUUGUUGGCGGGGUAACGGCCCACCAAGGAAACGAUCAGUAGGGGUUCUGAGAGGAAGGUCCCCCACAUUGGAACUGAGACACGGUCCAAACUCCUACGGGAGGCAGCAGUGAGGAAUAUUGGUCAAUGGGCGGAAGCCUGAACCAGCCAAGUAGCGUGCAGGAUGACGGCCCUAUGGGUUGUAAACUGCUUUUAUACAGGAAUAAAGUUAGCCACGUGUGGUUAUUUGUAGGUACUGUAUGAAUAAGGACCGGCUAAUUCCGUGCCAGCCGCCGCGGUAA